UGUCGAUGAUGAAAAUAGCCAAAUCUGAGCAUCAAAAGAUCUCUUGGUGUCCCUAAUGCAUGAUCUCUAUAUUUCUGAGA
Bison bison bison is the source of this 80-nucleotide small nucleolar RNA. The record is from Ensembl. Lineage: Eukaryota; Metazoa; Chordata; Mammalia; Artiodactyla; Bovidae.